AUGCUUCUGCAAUGUUCUGAAGACAGUUAAACUUGUCAGGUAGUGAUGUCCAGCAGGUGAAAAUGCAAGCUCCAUGAACACGCACAGCUAUGGAUUCCAACUGCGUUUGUAGUUCUGCAAACUUUGACCCCCACAGAGUCGAGCUUUUUGGUUCAAUCAGGUGCACUUCGAUGUCCUCUGUGUCCAGCCAGUUAAUGCAAGACAAAUCCAGCUGCUCAUUAAAGCUUUCUGGUUUGAUCAGAAAAAAAUACAUUGGUCCAUACACCUGAAAGUCCCAAAAACAAAUUGUGAAUUCUGUCUCGAGUCUUCGGAUGUAUCCAUGUAUAUACGUGGUGCUGAUGCUGAUGAGUGGACAGCUCCUGAAGCAUUUGAAGUGUUGGAAUGUGGAAAUGUCAACAUCGCUUGGUGUGGCAGCAAGAGGUGGGGAUGGAAUAAAUACUCAAUUUAAAAGACAAUGCCACCCUGUGAAUUUCACCCAGAGAAUACUGGAUCUAAAUAAUGCUAAUUACCAGGAAGACACUAAGAUCCAUUAUACUCAAUAUACUGUUUUAUCAGUGAUAAAACAGACAAUUUAUUAAUAAUGAUUUAAAACAGCAUAUAAAAACACGAGCCGAGGCUUGCCAGUGGAGGGGCAGGGAUGCCACGCACAAAAACAGCUCAAAAAGAAAAGAAAACUCACCAAUACACAAGUGCAGCACACUAUCACACGCUCACACUAAUAAACUAAAAAUGCAGGUGUGUAACACUCAAAGGAUCCCACAACCAAGGCACCCCGGUCUCCUCCACGUCAGGCCCUCCACAUCUGAAUAAAAGAAACAAAGAAAAUUUUAAUAUAUUCCAAAAAAAAUAGUUUGCACACACUGGGGUUAGCCCAACUGCAGGAACACACUGGUGAUCCGCAACUCGAUAAAGGGCCUCCUACCGGUGGUGUAACAAAAAAAAUAAACUACAAAUCAAAACAACCGAACAUACAAACUAAAUAAAACCUUAAAUCUAGAGCAGACGGAGUUACCGUAUUACUCCAAUUUGCUGUCCGCCCGACUACUUUAAUUUAACAAUUCAGUCUAUCAACAUGCACGCCAGCUGACUCCCGUAGCCGGCAUGUAUGUAGCCGCUGUCCACGCUGACAUCCACUCUUAAGAGGCUGGCAGCAGCAGGGAAAAAUAACCCUCGCAAACGGAAACAGACGGUAAAAGGCAAAGCAGCAGCACUUCUGUUAGCGUAGCAUAGAAAACCGUAGUGACCUUGCUGUAAAGCUACUGGCUGCCCUCUAAGGCCCACACUUCCUGCAAUACAUAAUAAGCGUUUACUAUAAAACAACAAUAAAAGGCAGAGAUCACAACGAAGCUGAGUUACGUACCAAUUAAACGGCGUCACUCAAUUCAUGAACAGAGUGGCCCAUAGGAGGCUUCUACAGCUAUGACCUAUAAACAACACUGGUUUACCACAGCUAAAUAAUGUACGCACAGCACCAAAUACACACAUACCA
Molecule: long non-coding RNA, 1489 nt
Organism: Astatotilapia calliptera (eastern happy)
Lineage: Eukaryota; Metazoa; Chordata; Actinopteri; Cichliformes; Cichlidae
Source: Ensembl